GACGAACGCUGGCGGCGUGCCUAAUACAUGCAAGUUGAGCGCUGAAGGUUGGUACUUGUACCAACUGGAUGAGCAGCGAACGGGUGAGUAACGCGUGGGGAAUCUGCCUGUGAGCGGGGGACAACAUUUGGAAACGAAUGCUAAUACCGCAUAAAAACUUUAAACACAAGUUUUAAGUUUGAAAGAUGCAAUUGCAUCACUCAAAGAUGAUCCCGCGUUGUAUUAGCUAGUUGGUGAGGUAAAGGCUCACCAAGGCGAUGAUACAUAGCCGACCUGAGAGGGUGAUCGGCCACAUUGGGACUGAGACACGGCCCAAACUCCUACGGGAGGCAGCAGUAGGGAAUCUUCGGCAAUGGACGAAAGUCUGACCGAGCAACGCCGCGUGAGUGAAGAAGGUUUUCGGGUCGUAAAACUCUGUUGGUAGAGAAGAACGUUGGUGAGAGUGGAAAGCUCAUCAAGUGACGGUAACUACCCAGAAAGGGACGGCUAACUACGUG
This 497-nucleotide ribosomal RNA is filed under the name uncultured bacterium. RNAcentral's name for it is "partial 16S ribosomal RNA". It matches the Rfam family "Bacterial small subunit ribosomal RNA", at positions 28 to 507 of the family's 1533-position model. The record is from RNAcentral.